This 443-nucleotide ribosomal RNA is filed under the name uncultured bacterium. RNAcentral's name for it is "partial 16S ribosomal RNA". It matches the Rfam family "Bacterial small subunit ribosomal RNA", at positions 338 to 795 of the family's 1533-position model. The record is from RNAcentral.
CCUACGGGGGGCAGCAGUGGGGGAUAUUGGACAAUGGGGGAAACCCUGAUCCAGCGACGCCGCGUGAGUGAAGAAGUAUUUCGGUAUGUAAAGCUCUGUCAGCAGGGAAGAAAGAAAUGACGGUACCUGACCAAGAAGCCCCGGCUAACUACGUGCCAGCAGCCGCGGUAAUACGUAGGGGGCAAGCGUUAUCCGGAAUUACUGGGUGUAAAGGGAGCGUAGACGGUGAUGCAAGUCUGGAGUGAAAGGCGGGGGCCCAACCCCCGGACUGCUUUGGAAACUGUGCGGCUGGAGUGCAGGAGGGGUAAGCGGAAUUCCUAGUGUAGAGGUGAAAUGCGUAGAUAUUAGGAGGAACACCGGUGGCGAAGGCGGCUUACUGGACUGUAACUGACGUUGAGGCUCGAAAGCGUGGGGAGCAAACAGGAUUAGAUACCCUUGUAGUC